UUGCUCUUCAACGAGGAAUUCCUAGUAAGCGCAAGUCAUCAGCUUGCGUUGAUUACGUCCCUGCCCUUUGUACACACCGCCCGUCGCUACUACCGAUUGAAUGGCUUAGUGAGGCUUCAGGAUUGGCUUAUGGCGGGAGGCGACUCCUGCCUGGAGCCGAGAAUCUAGUCAAACUUGGUCAUUUAGAGGAAGUAAAAGUCGUAACAAGGUUUCCGUAGGUGAACCUGCGGAAGGAUCAUUAGAGAACCUGGGCCUGCGCUACUUGCGCGGCUCCAACCAAUACACAGUGUGUUAUACUUCUCUUGCUUUGGCUCUGCCAAAGGUUUUAAACACAGAAAUUUAUUUUCUCUAGAAACUAGUCAAUUUGAAUUUUAAUCUUCAAAACUUUCAACAACGGAUCUCUUGGUUCUCGCAACGAUGAAGAACGCAGCGAAAUGCGAUACGUAAUGUGAAUUGCAGGUUUUCGUGAAUCAUCGAAUCUUUGAACGCAUAUUGCGCUCUCUGGCAUUCCAGAGAGCAUGCCUGUUUGAGCGUCAUUUCUCUCUCAAGAUCCUCUAGGGGACUUGGUAUUGAGUGAUACUCUGUGUUAACUUGAAAUACUCUAGGCAGAGCUCCCCCUAGAAAUCCUCUGGGCCGAAAUAAUGUAUUAGGUUCUACCAACUCGUUAUUUUCCAGACAGACUUCCAGGCAGAGCUCGGCUGAACAACCUUUCUAAGCUUGACCUCAAAUCAGGUAGGACUACCCGCUGAACUUAAGCAUAUCAAUAAGCGGAGGA
RNAcentral lists this ribosomal RNA (775 nucleotides) under uncultured fungus. RNAcentral describes it as "eukaryotic LSU rRNA". The stretch from base 1 to 241 matches the Rfam family "Eukaryotic small subunit ribosomal RNA", at positions 1593 to 1831 of the family's 1831-position model. Lineage: Eukaryota; Fungi. The record is from RNAcentral.